UGUGAUUUACAUCAUGUGAUGUCACACAUAAAUAAUUAGUUAUGCAAAUUAGUACGGCCUGUAUUUUUUUCCAAGAAAGGUGGCAACCCUAACUACUCUUCACAUACUCUUGCUUUGGAAACUUAAGAGGGAUAUAUGGAAACAAAACUUGUGUGGACUGGCUGACAAUGAAAUUAGUUUAGGUAAUGCUGACUUUGGUCUCUC
This is a non-coding RNA of Pelobates cultripes (western spadefoot toad), 204 nucleotides long. The record is from the annotation of a GenBank genome assembly. NCBI's taxonomy places the organism in Eukaryota, Metazoa, Chordata, Amphibia, Anura, Pelobatidae.